UUGGGCGUUGGGGAAGGGGGCGCAUGCGCGCGGCGAGAAACGCGGGUGACGUACGUACGUAAACCUUCAAACGGGCGGAAGGGCGGUUUGUCUGGGGGCCCAAGACUAAGUUGCUCCACUGUUUUUCUGUGUGGGGUGUUUUUGUUUUUAAUGGAGCGAAGGAAUCAGUCAGCCACUUGCUGACAUCUCUCAAAUAUAGCGUUGGUUAAGGGGAGGGUAAGGACUACAAAUCCCAGCAUGCCAUGCGGCCAAGCCUCGUUACCGCCCGCUUGCCUGCUCUCAAAAGCUUUCAGCCUCUUGUAAAAGGAGGAAGAGCGGUGCAUUCUGGGAACUGCCAUGUGUUGUCCCGGGGCGAAUUGGGAAUUGCAGUCCGCUUUCCGCGCUUGGGUUGCAUGAAGGAAGCCAAAAGUGAACCCGUUGCUUGCUCUCUAUCUGGUCCGCCGGCUGAAAGUGCGCAUCCUUACAUUGUGCAGCGCUUGCCAAAUGCAAUUUACUCAGCGGAUGUUGGUCCUGAUAGGGGUUUCUGCUGUUUUUUUCAUAGCACAGGUUGCCCGAAAUCUGAUCCGGACGACGUGACCCACCCACUCGGAAGUAAAUCGCACUGAAUUCAAGCUGUGUGACUCCCAAGUGACGGGCAACAAAAGAACACAGUAGUUCUGCUGGGCGUGGUCGGUUGCGCUUGCUUUUGGCCCCGAGAUCUGAUCAUAGCUGUCAACUUUUCCCCUUUUCUUGCUAGGAAUCCUAUUCGGAAUAAGGGAAUUUCCCUUAAAAAAAGGAAAACGUUGACAGCUAUGGAUCUGAUGCGUGUGCGUCAAUUAAUGUUGCAGUAGCAUGUGCUUUCUCCUCACCCGACACCCAUUCUAAGAAAACAAAACAACAAACAAAAACCACCAGCAGGGUGAGUCGCUGCUGUUCAUUUCUGGGAGCCCCUUCUCCAUAAGGACAGAAACAGCACUUUGACAUUGUCUGCUGUCUCUGCCUUUGGCUGGACGUUUUACGGAAGGUACAAAGGCACUGCCAUAACUGCCCAUGCUGCAAACUCUUCAAUCUUCGGACCCAUUUCCUCCUCUGGACACAAGACGUUUGCACUGGUCUUUCUUCACUCUUGAUAUAGGGAACUUGUGGCCCCUCAGAAAUUGUUCAGACGCCCAACAUCUGCAGUCAUCAUGGCCAGUGGUCAGGGAAUGAUGGGAGUCCGUGUCUAGCAACACCUAGAGGGCCAAAUAUUGUCCAACCCCAAUCCCCUUUUCCAAUAUGCUUAGUAUAAAUUAUUAGGAACUUGAGCAGGCCAGUUGCCCUUUCCCCCGCAAUUGCUCCAGUUUCCUUUCUUUUCGCUUCAUUACAUUGAUUACAGCUUUGUCUUAGGAAAAUAAUCAAACUUGAAUUUUUCUCUUAUCUCUCAUCAGAUGAGAGUUUGAACAGUGCAUCUGUGUAAACAAUAGAGGCUGUUAUGUAGUUAGUUAUUUUGUACAAUUUAUAGAAUAUCUCAGACCUUAAAGAGGCUGCUCCUUCUCAUAUUGCCAGUAUUUAUCAGGGAAACAUGAGUGAAUGGCUAGCUAUCAUUUGUAAUGUUCGGAGACAACUCACAUUGCUUAAAAGCAGAUUGACAGCAGGAUAUAUGAAGACAUUUUCAGGGCCAUUUUCUAUUUCUGCUGGUUGGAGUUGUGCAACCUGACACCAUAAUCUCCGUGUCGGUUGUAUAGAUAUCCUCAACUACUGUCACUCUUUCUGACAGCUUUCAUAGCUUUACUGACAAUGCUCAUCCAAGGAAUACAAUCAAUGCCAGAUCUACAAAUUUUGCCAAAGGGGGCAAAAGUAUGCACUGUCACCCUGUUUUGUGCUGACUGCCCUCCCUCAGGAAGAAAAACUCCGCAUUUCUGUCUAUUGCUCCAUAAAUCUGUAGAUACAGAUUUGUUUUAAGACCAUUAAAAACAAUCUGCAGCAGAACUGAAAGAGCAGCAAGACUCCUGGAUUCAUGUUUUUUUAAACUACCGUAUUUGAGGGUUUUUUAAACAAUCAAGCAGUGUAUAAUUUUUAUGAAAUAAACAAAUAAAUAAUUAACAUCCAUAUACUGAGGGACUAGAAACCUAGUAAAUGAAUAUAUCUUCUAGUUGGGGUAAACAUGUGCAUAUACAGUAUAUUCCAACUAGAAGAACUAAGGUUAACAGCAGCAGCAGCCCAAACCCCUGGAAUGGGGCAUUCCAAGGAAGGUGUUGGGCAAGUCCCAGAUCUGCUGAAUCCUGAACUAGUCCCACUGCCAGGGGCAAAACUAGGCUUUAUUUCAUCUGGGUCAAAGACCUAAUUUGUCACGCGCACACACACACCCAAUGCACAUUUGCGUACACACACAGGCUGGGAGUCUCAAUGGCACCCUUCUGGAGCCUUCACCUGGGGCAAAAGACCAUGUCUAGCUCCGCCCCCCCAGUAGCUACGACUCUACUCCCUGCCAUCACAUGACAGCAUCAGGCCUGAUCUGUUGUCAGGGACUGGGCAGAAAAGGAGUGGUGGAGACUACCUCACCAGCCUGACCCUUCCAGAGAAGAAGGAGACAGUUCAGAAUUACAACAGGGGUUUGAGGGAGACCACAGCUCAGAGGCAGAUGAGGAGAAAAGCUGGGAAAUAAUGGGAGAGGAGGAGGAAGAAAAAGAAGCACCAGGGGAGCGACAGCUGAUGGACUUGGUGUCUUUAGAAAACAAUCCAGACUUCCCCUUUCUCAGAACCUGGCGGGCAUUGAAAGUAGGAGAGCAAAGAGCUCAAAGGCAGAGGGCAAGUAGCAGCACCCGUAGCGAUGAACAGAAAAGGGCAGUGGGAGGUAGUGAGGAGAGUGACUGAGGGGAGAGACAAAAAAAUUCAACAGCUGGAUGCACUGCAUCAAGCUCUGCCUGGUGUUGUGGAUGGGAAGCAGCAGAAUAAGCAAUGAAUAUCCAUGACUGAGGAAACGCAGCAAUGUUUGGAAGCGAGUGUGUCAAAUGUGCACAUAGAAAAAAACAGAUUUGAACAAUCUAUUUGCAAUAUAAGGCCCCUGUCUGGAAGAAUUCUUCACACUUGCUCACACUUUUCUGAAUAGUGCAGAACUGAUGUUUUGCUCUCUUUGCAAAGCCAGUGAACAAUCUACAGUAGGGACAUUCUUCAGUUGUGUGUGUUUUCAAGCACUGGUACCUUCCGCAUGUCUUCUGAGUGCACCACUGCGCAUUGCUCCGGUUUCUGCUAGUCUGAGUACCAGUCAUUGUAUUUCAGGGAUCCACCGACAAACAUUAACUGAUAGGCCAGUCUCCUCUUACAAGGUAAAAGUCUUACUUCCCUAUUAUUGUUAUUAUUGUUCUAGUCUCUCCUUUUCCUUUUAUAUUUGUUACACCGUUAAUACGCUUCCCCUAUUAUUCCCUUUGCCUGAUACACAUUUCCUUCUUUAGUGUCAAAAUAAGGUGACGGUGAAUCGCGAGUCCCUCCUGAGAUGAGUACUCCUGCAAUCUAGCAACCUUUGCCACGAAAAACAUACACUCGUGAAUGGGCAAGCACUUAAGAGCGAUUCACCGCCGAACAUUAUAGAAAAUAGACCUACACGGGUUCAAAGAAUACAAGACCAAGUUCCCCUUUCCUCGGUUUUGGUCCAGCAAGUACGGCGCUCUAAUUUUAUUCCUAUUAUGUGGUUAAGAGGCGAGAAAAUGAAAGCUUCCUAAAAGGCCCCCAAACCUCUGCUGUUGCAGUGGUUUCUAAAAGCAAGAAUGGAAACACCGAAAAGAUCGGCAGAAAAGGAACCAUUUAAAGAAACAUUGUAGGCUACUGUAUAUUCUGCCCUUAUUCUCUGCCCUUCCCAUUAGUUUGCAUUUGACAGGGAGAAAGGCAAGGGAACAUGUCUGAUCGUUCAAAAUAUAAUACAGCCCUGUUUCUAAAGGAA
Non-coding RNA from Podarcis lilfordi (Lilford's wall lizard), 3895 nucleotides. NCBI's taxonomy places the organism in Eukaryota, Metazoa, Chordata, Lepidosauria, Squamata, Lacertidae. The record is from the annotation of a GenBank genome assembly.